AUCCAACUGACGAGUCCCAAAUAGGAUGAAACACACAUUCUGGAU
RNAcentral lists this non-coding RNA (45 nucleotides) under Schistosoma margrebowiei. The record is from RNAcentral. Lineage: Eukaryota; Metazoa; Platyhelminthes; Trematoda; Strigeidida; Schistosomatidae.